This 3041-nucleotide unclassified non-coding RNA is filed under the name Harpegnathos saltator (Jerdon's jumping ant). RNAcentral's name for it is "ubiquitin-conjugating enzyme E2Q-like protein CG4502, transcript variant X1". Lineage: Eukaryota; Metazoa; Arthropoda; Insecta; Hymenoptera; Formicidae. The record is from RNAcentral.
UUUUAAGGAGGCCAUUUAGGCGUUCUUCAUUCUACUAGACGUCGAACGCCGAGAAUAACAGUGCCCGAAUUCUCGAUGUUCAGUCAUGCUAACGCUAAUUAGAAGACGCCUGAAUAGGGGAAGCCAGUUGAACAAGAAACGAUAAUUUCGCGAGCUCCACUUGCAGCUCGAAAACGAUCGAUGCCUCGGCACUGUCGUCGACGAAGACCCGACUUGAAAUCACUCGAAAAAUCUGCCGAUGAAGUUGAAUCUGCUGAGCACGAGUCAUUCUGUCCAACUGAAGUGCCGUAUAUUCAUAUAAUAUAUGCGACCUUUUUCGCUUCUUCAACGAGUUUCUCGUUGCUCCGAACAGCGGAAUAUCUCGGUAAAGCCGAAUAUCUUUUUCCGCAUUCUUCUAUCCAUCGCAAACGAUAUGUUUCUCGCGCGUUCAAGCCGAGGAAAUUGAAGCGCCGCGAUAAAACAUCACCGCGUUCAUUCGUUCAGCCGUGGCGUUUAUCGGGCACGAAAAAGCGCGCCGCUUCGGCUCUCCGUGCGUUGUCGGCCGAUAUCGGCCACACAAGUUGGAUCGAUAAGAAGGCUGGUUGUGCCACCUCCACUCCCGGCGCUACGCUCGGCGGCAUCGUCGACGUCGGCUUUCACCCUCUCGCGCUCGUUUCUUCCCGGCGAACAGGCGGCGGUUCAAUGAGGGUGGAGACUGCGCCGUGUUCGGCCGCGUUCUCGCUGUUCUUACAGACGCACGCAGCGCGUAAUAAUCACACGCGGGCGGUCUAUCGGCACCGGACCGACGUUUAGAAUGGGUGAGUUUUGUUCAUGUCGAGGAGGAAGUGCACGGAAACGGUGGUCGAGCGACGAGUCGCGCUGAUAUAGAUGCGCAAUUUUCCUCGCGAGCGACGGACGAUUCGAGAUUCGAGAGGUUGCGAGAGCAGUUCUCAGACUGGGACGGGUGUUUUCAAUCGCCGGGAUCGGUCAACAAUGCCGUCAAGUUCCCGGUCGUCUGUGAAAGAGUAGCGCGAGAAUAUACGUCAUCGGCGCUAUGUCCACGAGGUCGAAGGAGAAGGUCGUGGCGGCCUUCCGCAAGCUCUUCCGCUCUUCCGACAAGAUCACGGAGCAGGAUGGAGCCAGCGGUUCGACCGGCUCGCCGUCGAGGAGGCUUCUGAGUCGUCACCAUCGCCCGGAUGCCGUUACCCCGGCGGCCAGCUCGAUGCCGGAAAAUUCGGGUACCAGCCGCGCCGAUCAUGGCAACUGCUUUUUUAAGUCGAAGAAGUCAUCCGGCACUUCCGGACAGACCAUGAGUAUGGCCGAGAAGGGUUUGCGUCGGCUGAUGAAGGAGCUCAGCGAGAUCCAAAGGAUGCAGCAUCACCGCGACUCUACCUUCACCGCGGAGCUGGUGAACGACAACCUGUUCGAAUGGCAUGUGCGACUGCACAAGAUCGAUCCGGAGAGCGAGCUGGCGGCCGACAUGCGUGAGCUCGAGAUACCCCACAUACUGCUGCACGUCAUCUUCCCCGAGAACUUCCCGUUCGCGCCGCCCUUCAUGAGAGUGAUCUCGCCGAGGAUCGAGAAGGGCUUCGUGAUGGAGGGCGGCGCUAUCUGCAUGGAGCUCUUGACGCCAAGGGGAUGGGCCAGCGCGUACACCGUCGAAGCGGUCAUCACGCAGUUUGCAGCGAGCAUUGUGAAGGGACGGGUGAGCAGCAUCUUCAAGUCUGAAAGCGGGCGAGUGGCGAGGAAACCGAAGCCAAACAAAGAAUUCACUCAGCGAUCAGCCGAGGAGUCAUUCAAGAGCUUGGUGAAAACGCACGAGAAAUAUGGCUGGGUGACCCCACCGCUCGCCGAAGGCUGAUCGCAGUGUCUCAUUGUCGACAGCUAGAAGAGACUCGCGUCUCUCGCUCGAGGAACUGCGCAUCGGCCGAAGUGAUCCUUUCCCUCGAUUCUAACGGCGGCAGCGGCAACGGCAACACAGACGUAAGAAGUAUGUGUAAGUAGAAGUGCAGUCAAGAGCUCCAGAUUUCAACAUCGCACGGACGUGCGUAUUUUUUUUUUUCGUCAUUUUCGCACAUUUUUCAACACCUUUUAUAAUAAAUACUACCAUGCCAAAUUAGCUGUUAAGAUGAACGGGACGGCUUCUGCGUUAACAGCCGUUUUGAACGCGGUGGUUUCUUCGUUAAUCGUGUAUACACAAGGACGUUAACUUUACGCGCAGCUUCUCUCCGAUCGACAAUAGUUCGCAAGAGGUUCACCUCACACACGUCGAAUGUCGGAAGCUCAUAAAAGUACUUCGUUCCAGUAGUUUUGAAAAAAAAAAGAUUACACAUCAGAAGAAAUAAGAGAGAAAAGAAAGGAAGAAACUAGAAGAGACAAAAGGUUGCUCAAUAGCAUAUACUGAGGCGUUCGCGCGAUUUAAACGUGCUCGUUAUUUACGUACACGUAUAAUUGAAGGACCGACUAAGCAUGUAAAUAUAAAACAACGAAAACAAUACACAUAGAAUAACAUCCUUUCUUCGCUCUGUGAACCUUUCAGUUUCAAUUCGAGAGCGUCGUUAUUUGUGCGACAUCCGCGUGUGAAUUCUUCCAUGGAAACUGAAGUUUCGAUUAUGAGCUUCUAUACGAUAGUUUGUCCCUUUCCUCCUGUUCUCCUGUCCCCAAUUUAAAACCUGACAAUACUAAAUGCGUUACGUACGAACGGCUUCAAUGUUUCUCAAUCGAUUAAUUGCAGAAGUAUUUGUAUAGUCGCAACGUUAAACAUACACACUCGGACGUGCCAAAUAAAACAAGUUAGUUCGCAGUAUUGAUGUUUUUUCGCCAAAUUUUACACCCACGCUCGACCGUCGCGAAAGUUCGUUGCGAACGAUCGAGUGUCUCACGAUUCGUUUGAGAAUUGAUUUACGGUGUUUAUCACGGGGCUAGAUUAACGAUAAGAAGUAUCUGAUUGAUUAUCCAAACGUACGACUUCAAUGUGGUGCCGAGAAGUAAUAAUAUUUGUACAAGAUUUUCAGAUGAAGGUACGACGAAAGAUAAAUAUAAAUAAAUUAUUUACAAAUAUA